RNAcentral lists this long non-coding RNA (1199 nucleotides) under Gallus gallus (chicken). RNAcentral describes it as "long non-coding RNA NONGGAT005662". Lineage: Eukaryota; Metazoa; Chordata; Aves; Galliformes; Phasianidae. The record is from RNAcentral.
GCCCGCGAGUACAGCGCCCGCCCCUUCCGCUUCCGGCGCCGGGACCGCCGCCAUGCUGGGGGAUCUGCUGCUCUGCGGGUAGCGGGCCGGGCCCGGGGCGCGGGGAGGGCUGCUGGGGCCCGGCCGCGCCUGACGCACUCUCUCUGUCUCUCCUCAGAACGCUGCUGGUGAACGCCGGCGCUGUGCUGAACUUCAGACUGUGAGCGGGGAUCGGGCCGGGGUGGGAGGGCGUGGGAACCCCGGGCCUGGCGCUGCGGGACCGCUCUGGGCCCGGCGCUGCGCGCGGUAACGGCGCUUCUCUUCCCGCAGGAGGAGGAGAGACACGGAGGGCUUCGGCGAGGGGGCGAGGGAGCCCACCACCGGUGACAAUAUCAGAGAGUUCUUGCUGAGCCUUAGGUAUUUCCGAAUCUUCAUUGCCUUGUGGAAUGUCUUCAUGAUGUUCUGCAUGAUUGUGUUAUUUGGAUCUUGAAAGUCAUCCACAAACAUGGCUGGUAACUUGGAAGAGACUUUUGGCUGCAAACAUAACUUUUCUAUCAAGUAAAAGAUUAUAAUGCUUUCCAAACACAGCCCUGGGAUUGUGACAGUUCUUCAGCACGAGCUCCGAGGGGCAGCACAGCACACAGCCCCCCCAGCCAGCUGUGUAAGGCUGUGGGUGUGUGGGGCUGCGUGCUGCAGGGCAGGGAGCCUUCCAGCCCCUGAGCCAAAGGCCUCAAAGUAAAAUUAAUUCAACUUCACCGGGAGGAAAAAAACAACCCACCCACCUUUACAGUGGGUUGCUCAGCAUUCUGUGCCCGAUGUGCAGCGGAUUGCAGCUGACUGACAGCCACAGCCGUGCAGCUCUGCCUCAUCGCUCACCCCACGUUCUGCUGCGUCUGCCGUCACCGCGCUGUGGGCCACAUGGAAGUCACACCUCAUUACUGUGACGCGGAGUGAAGAAUUGAUGUAACUUGGAAAAAAAAAAAAGGCAUUUUUCCCUCACAAUUCCAUUUUUCUUUGGAAAUGUAGAAAUAGGCAUCUCAAAAAAGGGUCCUCACUUCCUCACUUUUUCCCCCAACAAAUUCAUUUUUAGAUACAAAUUUGAAGAUAAGGGGUUUUUUCCUCAGCAAUCCGUAAGGGACUUUGAACAGGAAAACAUCUGUGAUGCCGAGGAGGUUUUGGGAUCAUUUUGGAUUCGGUUGAAUAAAAAAGUUCUAUUUAAG